GAGGGAAAGGUGAAAAGCACCCCGACGAGGGGAGUGAAACAGUACCUGAAACCGAACGCCUACAAUCAGUCGGAGCUUGACUGGACUCUAAUGACAAUCUGGGCCAUGACCCUGUGAAAACAGGAGAUUAUCAUGGCUGAUGGAACCUUCGCGGUGCUUCUGAUCGUGCUCGGCCUGGCCGACAUGAACGGAAACCACUGCGGAACGGACGGCGGCUGCCUGGGGCGGUCGGACGUCCAGCCACGCCUGGCCAUCUCGGCCGGCGAAGUGGUCGAACGGCGUGCCAAGCCAGCCGCGGAAACCUACCUGCGUUAUGAUACGGGCCAAAAGAUCGGUCCCUUCGGACAGGCAGUUGGUCUCUCGGUCGGCGAGAAGGGCGAAACCUGGGCGGGCUACGGGGCGACCUACAGGAUCGGUCUGUGGAACACGCCACUCUAUGCGGAGCUGCACACCAUGCCGGGGAUCUACCUCGGCAAUGGCGGCUUCGACCUCGGUGGACCGAUCGAGUUUAGGUCGGGGAUCGAACUGGGGUGGGAAAACGACCGCGGCUGGCGCUUCGCCGUCAGUUACGAUCACCGCUCGAACGCGGAGAUCUACGACAACAACCCGGGCAUCGAGACGGUGCAGUUCCGGGUCAGCGUUCCAACCAGAUAGAUUGUUAUCAGUGUCCAGUCUUGUGACGGCGUACCUUUUGUAUAAUGGGUCAUCGACUUGGUCUAUCUAGCAAGCUUAAGCCGAUAGGUGUAGGCGCAG
Molecule: ribosomal RNA, 753 nt
Filed under: Antarctobacter albus
Lineage: Bacteria; Pseudomonadati; Pseudomonadota; Alphaproteobacteria; Rhodobacterales; Roseobacteraceae
Description: Mameliella alba partial 23S ribosomal RNA
Rfam family: Bacterial large subunit ribosomal RNA
Source: RNAcentral